RNAcentral lists this ribosomal RNA (253 nucleotides) under uncultured bacterium. RNAcentral's name for it is "partial 16S ribosomal RNA". It matches the Rfam family "Bacterial small subunit ribosomal RNA", at positions 524 to 776 of the family's 1533-position model. The record is from RNAcentral.
UACGUAGGGACCAAGCGUUGUUCGGAUUUACUGGGCGUAAAGGGCGCGUAGGCGGCUUGUCAAGUCACUUGUGAAAUCUCUGGGCUUAACCCAGAACGGCCAAGUGAAACUGACAUGCUAGAGUGCAGAAGGGGCAAUCGGAAUUCUUGGUGUAGCGGUGAAAUGCGUAGAUAUCAAGAGGAACACCUGAGGUGAAGACGGGUUGCUGGGCUGACACUGACGCUGAGGCGCGAAAGCGUGGGGAGCGAACAGG